GUGAGUAACACGUGGGUAACCUGCCCAUCAGAAGGGGAUAACACUUGGAAACAGGUGCUAAUACCGUAUAACAAUCGAAACCGCAUGGUUUUGAUUUGAAAGGCGCUUUCGGGUGUCGCUGAUGGAUGGACCCGCGGUGCAUUAGCUAGUUGGUGAGGUAACGGCUCACCAAGGCCACGAUGCAUAGCCGACCUGAGAGGGUGAUCGGCCACAUUGGGACUGAGACACGGCCCAAACUCCUACGGGAGGCAGCAGUAGGGAAUCUUCGGCAAUGGACGAAAGUCUGACCGAGCAACGCCGCGUGAGUGAAGAAGGUUUUCGGAUCGUAAAACUCUGUUGUUAGAGAAGAACAAGGAUGAGAGUAACUGUUCAUCCCUUGACGGUAUCUAACCAGAAAGCCACGGCUAACUACGUGCCAGCAGCCGCGGUAAUACGUAGGUGGCAAGCGUUGUCCGGAUUUAUUGGGCGUAAAGCGAGCGCAGGCGGUUUCUUAAGUCUGAUGUGAAAGCCCCCGGCUCAACCGGGGAGGGUCAUUGGAAACUGGGAGACUUGAGUGCAGAAGAGGAGAGUGGAAUUCCAUGUGUAGCGGUGAAAUGCGUAGAUAUAUGGAGGAACACCAGUGGCGAAGGCGGCUCUCUGGUCUGUAACUGACGCUGAGGCUCGAAAGCGUGGGGAGCAAACAGGAUUAGAUACCCUGGUAGUCCACGCCGUAAACGAUGAGUGCUAAGUGUUGGAGGGUUUCCGCCCUUCAGUGCUGCAGCUAACGCAUUAAGCACUCCGCCUGGGGAGUACGACCGCAAGGUUGAAACUCAAAGGAAUUGACGGGGGCCCGCACAAGCGGUGGAGCAUGUGGUUUAAUUCGAAGCAACGCGAAGAACCUUACCAGGUCUUGACAUCCUUUGACCACUCUAGAGAUAGAGCUUCCCCUUCGGGGGCAAAGUGACAGGUGGUGCAUGGUUGUCGUCAGCUCGUGUCGUGAGAUGUUGGGUUAAGUCCCGCAACGAGCGCAACCCUUAUUGUUAGUUGCCAUCAUUCAGUUGGGCACUCUAGCAAGACUGCCGGUGACAAACCGGAGGAAGGUGGGGAUGACGUCAAAUCAUCAUGCCCCUUAUGACCUGGGCUACACACGUGCUACAAUGGGAAGUACAACGAGUUGCGAAGUCGCGAGGCUAAGCUAAUCUCUUAAAGCUUCUCUCAGUUCGGAUUGCAGGCUGCAACUCGCCUGCAUGAAGCCGGAAUCGCUAGUAAUCGCGGAUCAGCACGCCGCGGUGAAUACGUUCCC
RNAcentral lists this ribosomal RNA (1282 nucleotides) under Enterococcus faecium. Its description in RNAcentral is "bacterial SSU rRNA". It matches the Rfam family "Bacterial small subunit ribosomal RNA", at positions 106 to 1375 of the family's 1533-position model. Lineage: Bacteria; Bacillati; Bacillota; Bacilli; Lactobacillales; Enterococcaceae. The record is from RNAcentral.